Molecule: transfer RNA, 1921 nt
Filed under: Marmota monax (woodchuck)
Lineage: Eukaryota; Metazoa; Chordata; Mammalia; Rodentia; Sciuridae
Rfam family: tRNA (bases 1062-1130)
Source: RNAcentral
CCCACAAAGCUGAAAAGGCAGACACUCAGGUUUUUUGUUUUGUUUCAUUAUUUUUGUUUUCUUUAGGCAAUGAAGAGUUUUACAAAUUCCUCUCCUGCCCAACUGAGUCUUGAGGACUCUGAAGUGAAACCGACCUGGUUAGUUCUGCGCUAGGUGAGUCACCUCCCUGCUCUGAGCCUCAGUUUCCCUCUCUGUGCAAAGGGCCGAAUUGAGAGGACUAAGUAAGAUCAAGUCAGGCUAAUCACUAGCUUAGCAAAGUGCCUAGAAUUUGUGUCUAAUACAUUUCUUUUCCAUUUUCUACUUCUCUGUUUGAUGAGGUGCUGCUUUCAAACAGAACAAAAGGGUAGAAAAUGAGUCUCCUUCUGGGUGUGGGGACAAAUGCCUAUAACCCCAGAGACUCAGGAGGCUGAGGCAGGAGGAUUCCAAGUUGGAGACCAGUCUCAGCAACUUAGUGAGACCCUGUCUCAAAAUUAAAAAUAAGGGGCUGGGGAUGUGGCUCAAGUGGUAGCGCGCUCAUCUGGCAUGCAUGCGGCCCGGGUUCGAUCCUCAGCACCACAUACCAACAAAGAUGUUGUGUCUGCCGAUAACUAAAAAAAUAAAUAAAUAUUAAAAAAAAGAAGGGCUGGGUCUGAAACACAUGGGAAUACUCGUGGUUUCAAUCCCCAGUACAAUAAUAAUAAUAAAACAUUAAUAACAGAAAAAUAUUGGGCUGGGGAUGUGGCUCAAGCGGUAGCGCGCUCGCCUGGCAUGCGUGCGGCCCGGGUUUGAUCCUCAGCACCACAUACCAACAAAGAUGUUGUGUCCACUGAAAACUAAAAAAAAAAAGAAAAAUAUACACACUUGCCAGGCAUGGUGGCUCAUACCUGUAAUCUCAGCUACUUGGGAGACUGACAGAGGAGGAUCGCAAGUUUGAGGCCAAACUAGACACUUAACAAGACCCUGUCUCAAAAUAAAAUUAAACUAAAAGGGAUAGGAGGGUAGCUUGGUGGUGGAGCACUUGCCUACCAUGUGCCAAACCCUGGGUUCCAUCCCCAGUACAACAAGAAAAAAGGGAGGGGGCUGGGGCUGGGGCUCAGUGGCAGAGCACAUGCCUCGCAUGCAUGAGGCACUGGGUCCGAUCCUCAGCACCACAGAAAAAUAAAUAAAUAAAGAUAUCGUGUCCAUCUACAACUAAAAAAAUACUUAAAAAAAAAGAGGGGUGGGUGGGAGAGACACCCUUUUCCCCUGGUUCCUUGAUCCGCUACUUCCUCUCGCAGAUGCAACCAUAAAUAAGUACAGGUUUCAAAAUCCUUUCCAAUUACAGAAAUGUUACAAAAAUAAUUCAGAGAAUUCCAGAGUGCCCUCUUCCCUGAACCCCCGGUCUUCAGUAUUUUGUGUCUGUUUCCCUUCCUUCAUGUCGUUAACACACUGACCACCAAUGACAUUUGUUCUCAAACCAUUUAGGAGAGACCAGAGGGGCCCUGCCCCGUCUCCUCCUCAAUAUUUCAACACGUGUCCUCGGAGCUCAGGAGGCCGUGGUCUGCAGCCACAGCACUGUUGCCAAAUUCAGGAAAUCCACCUUCAAGCAACUCAGUCACGCCUGUGUCCUGACGGGGACACACUCCGAGAAUCCCACCAUCGUGUGAACACCUCCCCUUCUGGGACCACCCUUUGCCUGUGCCACCCUUCCCUGACAAGGCCAGAUGCCUCUCACUGGUGAUGUGGUUCUAAAGUGCCCCCGAGGAUGUGGUCUCCCCGAGACUGAAAAGUGACCCUUGGGGUGUGGGUGGCCGGGCUGUGAGGGCCAUUUAGAUAUUUUGUUCUCAUCGAAUUUCCCCCUUAGUUUUAGCUCUCAGGGGCGGUUUUUGCCUGAAACAAUCUUGACAACAAUGGUUAUAAAAUGUCACGUGGGUUUUAACCCAGGUAAAUAUGAAUAUUUCUG